GAUGAACGCUGGCGGCGUGCCUAACACAUGCAAGUCGAGCGAUUCUCUUCGGAGAAGAGCGGCGGACGGGUGAGUAACGCGUGGGUAACCUGCCCUGUACACACGGAUAACAUACCGAAAGGUAUGCUAAUACGGGAUAAUAUAUAAGAGUCGCAUGACUUUUAUAUCAAAGAUUUUUCGGUACAGGAUGGACCCGCGUCUGAUUAGCUUGUUGGCGGGGUAACGGCCCACCAAGGCGACGAUCAGUAGCCGACCUGAGAGGGUGAUCGGCCACAUUGGAACUGAGACACGGUCCAAACUCCUACGGGAGGCAGCAGUGGGGAAUAUUGCACAAUGGGCGCAAGCCUGAUGCAGCAACGCCGCGUGAGCGAUGAAGGCCUUCGGGUCGUAAAGCUCUGUCCUCAAGGAAGAUAAUGACGGUACUGAGAGAG
Molecule: ribosomal RNA, 431 nt
Filed under: uncultured bacterium
Lineage: Bacteria
Description: bacterial SSU rRNA
Rfam family: Bacterial small subunit ribosomal RNA
Source: RNAcentral